RNAcentral lists this ribosomal RNA (434 nucleotides) under uncultured bacterium. RNAcentral describes it as "bacterial SSU rRNA". It matches the Rfam family "Bacterial small subunit ribosomal RNA", at positions 29 to 507 of the family's 1533-position model. The record is from RNAcentral.
AACGAACGCUGGCGGCAGGCCUAACACAUGCAAGUCGAACGCCGUAGCAAUACGGAGUGGCAGACGGGUGAGUAACGCGUGGGAACCUACCUUACGGUCGGGAAUAGCUCAGGGAAACUUGGGGUAAUACCGGAUACGCCCUUACGGGGAAAGAUUUAUCGCCGUUAGAUGGGCCCGCGUCGGAUUAGCUAGUUGGUGAGGUAACGGCUCACCAAGGCGACGAUCCGUAGCUGGUCUGAGAGGAUGAUCAGCCACACUGGGACUGAGACACGGCCCAGACUCCUACGGGAGGCAGCAGUGGGGAAUAUUGGACAAUGGGCGCAAGCCUGAUCCAGCCAUGCCGCGUGAGUGACGAAGGCCUUAGGGUUGUAAAAGCUCUUUUGGCGGGGAAGAUAAUGACGGUACCCGCAGAAUAAGCUCCGGCUAACUUCGUG